GGACAUUCGGGCAGAAUUGGAGAAGGAGAAAGGUUUAUUGCAGGGUUCGGGAAACAUAGUGAUGCCAGUGAACUAUGAUGCUCAGGGCCAAAACCCGAGAUGGGAAUGCCUGGAUCGUGGAGCAAUCAAAGAUUUAGCUAAGGCCAUUCGGGACAAUGGGUUGUCAUCACCAUAUUUCAAACAGAUGUUGAAAAGCAUUUUUGGCAUGUAUGAUUUAACACCAUAUGAUCUUAAAUAUCUCGCAACAUCAGUUCUUACAGACACCCAAGCUCUCAUUUGGCAGAAGGCGUGGCGGAGAUCCCUGGAGGAGCUGAGAGCCAGAUACCAAGGCGGGCCAAACGCGAACCUCACCAUGGUGCAGCUUGCCGGUGAUCCUCCUGAGGACGAUCCAACUCAGCAGGCGGUGAGACUCCCACGGCACGUGCUCAGCGACAUCAAAGAGGCGGCACGGAGAGCAAUUCUUCAGAUUGCUCCGGCGGGGGUCCAGGACAACAUCUACACCGAGAUCAAGCAGGGUUCUUCAGAGCCAUUUUCCUCGUUCGUGGAUCGUCUUUCUCAGGCAGUGGAGCGGCAGGUGACCGAGGAGGGGGCGAAACCACAUCUGACCAAAAGCCUCGCGUUCUCCAAUGCCAACCCAGAGUGCAGGCGAAUCAUCAGCAUGAUGCCACACCAGGCCACCUUGGCAGACAUGAUUGAGGCGUGCAGCAAGGUGGGAACACCACAACAUGUUGCUUCCAUCAUGGAGGAACACUUGGGGGAUCGAAUUGAAAAGCGUGUUAAGGAAGUUCUUGCAAAUUAUGCAAAGGGCAACACCGGUGCAGAGAGACGGUGCUUUGGGUGUGGGGCACAAGGACAUUUUAAAAGGAACUGCCCACAACUUGCAAAGCCCAACAAGCCACCAGACCUCUGUCCUCGAUGCAGGAGAGGGAGACAUCUCGCGAGUGAGUGCCACUCACAGACAGACGUGGAUGGAAAACCUCUUCCGGUUCCGGGAAACGGGAAAAAGAGCGCGAAUCGACGCCAGCGCGCACCGACACAAAUUCUGGCGGUGACACAGAAUCAGCAGGAGCAAUCCUCGGGGAACAACAAACAGAAUCCUUCAGCAGAGCAAUCUCCAAAAUCCCCAGCGACCCAGACUUGGUACCACCCGGAUUCCAACGCGUCCUGGCAACCUCCAAAUUGACGUGUUUUUUGGACAAUAGCCAUGCAGUGAUACCCACAGGUGUCACAGGGACUUCUUGGAAAAGGCAGGAUUUUUUAAUAAUGGCCAGAGACAGAAGCAGCAUUCUUGGACUUGUUGUUUACCCAUCUUUGAUUUCAGCAAACCGUAAUGAGGAGCUGAUGGUCACAGCAAAAGCCUUGCGACCACCUUUGACAAUUCCACAAAAUACACCAAUUGCUCGAGCCAUGGCUUUGCCAUCUCACCCAGAAAGAGCGAGGACCGAAGUGGGUGUCGGCGAGGCACGUGAAACCUUAUCGGGUGCAGACGCCAGUGGACGUGGACCCGAGAAGCAGAGAGGCAAGCACGCAGACGAAGGCAGACAACAACGCUGCAGACGUCUCGUCAGACAACGAUUGAUCACCCAGAGACUUGGGGGGUUUUCUUUUCCUGGGAAAUCAAGUGUUGUUUGGGUGUUGCUGCAUUGCAGGGUCUCUCACAGAGGGUGGGGGCAUGGACAUGGGAUUCAGGCAGAUAGUGUUCAUGUGCUUCAUUCUCUUGCCUAUUGCCUUGGGCAAUUGGACAGACUUUCCCGUGAAACAACCAAAGGAAAAUGUGUGGGAAACUUUGGCAAAGGCAGCGGGUCUAGACAGCAUUUGUCUGACUCAUUCAAAGCCAGGAAAACCAUUUUCAACAUGUUUAGUAGGUGUGCCAGUGAAGGAAUGGCCAAUUCCAAAAGGCAUCCCUCCAGAGAUUCUGAAAACUUUUUCGGAUCCUGUGGAAGGAUGGCAAGUUUGGACACAGUACCUUCCUGUGGCUCACUUGGAACCUCCAGAAUUGGACAUUUUUGGAUCAACAAAAAUGAAAUGGUGCAUUGAAUUUAAUUCAUCAGGAGUGGCAAAGACAGAUAAUCAUACAAUAGAUGUCACUCCCAAUCAGCCUUUUUAUAAAAAUGCAUCAUCUUGGUGCAAUCACACAAAAAUAACAAGCAAACCAUCCCUUCAACACCCAGCCACUUUACCGAAGGGAAUGUUUUUCAUUUGCGGGGACAGAAUUUGGCCUGCUAUCCCUGCAAAAAUCAAGGGCGGUCCAUGCAGCAUCGGGGAACUCUCAUUGUUAACACCUGAUUUGAAAACUUUACAAAAGCAGACACACAGGGAAAAAAGAUCCCUUGAACAACAUAGUCCAAAUUGUGAUGAUGAUGUUUCUACCUGGAACAAGGCUCAGAGAAUUGCAAUAGCAAUUUUCUCACCCCAAACAGCAUCAGGGGUGGCCUUGACACAAUUGGAUCAUAUAGCGUGUUGGUUGAGUAAACACAGUCGUGCCAUUUCGUUUGCACUGAGUGACAUGUUAACAGACAUCAGCGGUGCAAGGCAAGCAGUGCUUCAAAACAGGGUGGCAAUUGAUUAUUUGCUGCUGACACAUGGGCACGGAUGUGAGGAAUUUGAGGGGAUGUGCUGCAUGAACUUGUCCGAUCAUUCAAAAUCUAUUCAUGAAAAUAUAAAACAAAUACAGAAUAGUAUUAGCAAAUUGAACAGAGUUACAGGGUCCUGGUGGGAUAAUUUGUUUAACUUUUUUGAUAUCUCACCAUUGUGGAAAGAACUUUCGAAAAUAGCAUUUUAUAUUCUUAUAGGGCUUGUAGUUCUUCUGCUUGUUCUACCAUGCGUUUUCGUGUGUAUUCGAAAGACCUUGAACAGCAUGGUAAAGCGGGUUUUUCUGGUUCAAACAGAGAGGGGAGAUGUCGGAACCCAAAAUGUCCCUCAGACAUUUUUAGAGGUUCCAGGCCUUGGUCAGAAGCAUUUUAGACCCUGGCAAGCAGCUGAAAACAGCUGUGAUUUUGAGUUUGAACCAUGGAAUGAAUUACCAACUUUGGGGGUGGAACAAGCAGUCACAGAAUGUUAGAUGGUAUAGUAAAAGUAGUCACAAAUUAGAGGGUAAAAUUUUUUAGUGUUGUACAGGGGGGUUUUAGUACCUGUACAGGGGGGUUUCCACUUUGUACAGGGGGGUCAGGAGUUCUAAGAUGGAGGAAAGUGGUCCUUAUCUUAUUCUUCCUCCUUCUUCUUCCUUACCUCCAUGUUCUUGGUGAUGUUGGCAUUCACAGAUUGGUUUAGAGUAGAAAAUCACAUUGUAACGUAGAUAGUAGGUAUUGGGGAAAAUCUAUAAACAUAUAGUACGUAAUAUAUCAUAUAAAAGAUAGUAGCAGCUUUGGGCGGGGAGAGAGACGACGGAGACACCGGACAGUGAGGGUGUCAGGAGAGUGUGUGUGUCUCUGCCUGGGCCGCAGACCAAAGCAGCCGCAGCGGGCGAAGACAAUCUUUUAGAUAGCUAGCAAUAAACUACCUUGAGAC
Taeniopygia guttata (zebra finch) is the source of this 3507-nucleotide long non-coding RNA. Lineage: Eukaryota; Metazoa; Chordata; Aves; Passeriformes; Estrildidae. The record is from Ensembl.